UUUUUUUUUUUUUUUUUUCCUCCCCUUAAGAAAAGCAAAAGUUUUCCUGGAAGUCCCAUCCAAGACUUGUAUCCAUGUUAUUGGCAGAACCUGUCACACAACCAACUCUAACUUCAAAGGGUCCCAGGAGAUCAAGCAGCUUCAACUGUGCACACUGCAGCUCUGACAAAGUAGGGCUCUGUCAUUAGAGAAGAGAAUGAAAACAGAAUAAGCAGCUGGCAGUGUCUACACCACACAUAUAUGGUAUACACACUAGAAGUCGAAAGAAGAAAAAUAAAAACCAAGUCUUAAUGAAAUAAUAAUCUAAUAAAACUAUAACGUUUAACAAAAAUACAAAAACUCACAAUUUAUUCUUCUCUCAAAUUCUAUAUUCAGGCAUGCCACUGUGAAAAGAUUGCUAUUUAAGAUUCGCAUGAGUUGGUUUUUAUAAAAUAUCUGGCAAAGACAGCAAAGUUUACAUCAAUAUCUGAGCUGGUUAUAAGAUUAUUUCCUCAGAGUUCCCACUGUGGUGCAGUGGAAACAAGUCUAACUAGGAACCAUGAGGUUGCAGGUUCGAUCCCUGGCCUUGUUCAGUGGGUUAAGGAUCCGGCAUUGCCGUUGAGCUAUGGUGUAGGUCGCAGACACAGCUCAGAUUCUGUGUUCCCGUGGCUAUGGCAUAGGCCGGCAUCUGUAGCUCUGUUUUGACCCCUAGCCUAGGAAUCUCCAUAUGCUGAAGGUGCAGCCCUAAAAAGCAAAGAGAAAAAAAAAAAGAUUAUUUCCCCUAUGCAGAGAAAACCUAGCACAAAGGCAGGGCACGGAACAAAAGCAUUUGUAAUACAUAUUUAACACAGGACUCAUAGCCAGGAUAUAUAAAGAACUGUAAGUCAGUAAGAAAAAGACAGAAAAUUCAAUAGAAAAAAGUGAACAAAAAUAAAAUCUUGAACAGCAACUUCACCAAAGUUAAAAUCCAAAUGGCCACUGAGUAUAUAUGAAAAAUGCUCAACUUUACUCGUCCUCAGUGAAAUGCUAAUUAAAACCACAGCAUGAUACCAUUUUAACCCAUCAGAAGCGACAACAGCGGCUAAACUGGAGAGGCCAGGAUGUGGAGCACCUGGAACUCUCAAAUCCUGCCUGGGGGCGUGUAAACUGGUACAAACCCUUUAGAAAACUCCUUGGCAGUACCUUCUAGUACAUGCAUUUCCCAUAUCCCAGAAAUUUCUCAACUUGGUAUAUACCCCACAGACAUUUAUAGUCACCAAAAAAAAUGCAUAUGCAAUGUCCACAAACACUGGAAACAAUUCCUCUACCAGGAGUAGAACAGGACAAAACAAUCUGUUUUGACUGAGAAUGAAAGAACCACACACAAGGAUGUGUAUCAGAAACCAUUAAGGUGAAACAAAGGAAUAAGACAUAAAAGAAGCCACCUAAAACUAAGUGUUUGACUUCCAUUUAUGAAGCAAAUAACAAGCAAACUCAUCCACGUGGGAAAUGACUACUACUAAUGGGUACUGGGUUUUGUUCUCUGAAUUCAUGGCAUGUAGAAGUUCCUGGGGCAAGGAUCGAACCUGCACCAUGGUAGUAGCCAUCUGAGCCACAGCAGUGACAAUGCUGGAUCCUUAACCAGGCCACAAGGGAACUCCCAGGUUUCUUUUGGGGGUGAUAAAAAUGUUCUAAAUUUAGAUCAUGCUGCUGAUGGCAUGACUGUGACUAAAGACCAAUAUACACUUUAAAGGGGUGAAUCUUCCCUAAAAAGCCAAGGCAAUCCUUAGAAAAAUGCUACUGCAAGAAUCAGGCUCCCUGACUUCAGAGUUUACUACAAAGCUACAGUCAUCAAAACAGUAUGGUACCGGCACAAAAACAGAAACACAGAUCAAUGGAACAGGAUAGAAAGCCCAGAAAUAAACCCAUGCACCUAUGGUCAACUAAUCUACAACAAUGGAGGCAAGAAUAGCCAAUGAAGGAAAGACAGUCUCUUUAAGAAGUGGUGCUGGUGAGAGAGGAUUAAGAUGGUGGAAUAGAAGGUUUGGAGCUCAACUUCUCUCCCAAAAACAACAAAAUUCACAACUAAAGGCUGAGCAAUCUCCACCCAAAUGGACCGGAAACCUUAAGAAAGAUACCCUACUCCAGAAGAAAAAGAGGAGGCCACAUCAAGAGGUAGGAGGGGCGAUUUCACGAUAUAAACAACCCCAUACCUCCCAGGUGGCAAGCUCCACAGAAUGAAAACUGGCUCACAGAGACUCACAUACAGGAGUGAGAGUUCUGAGCCACACAUCAAACCCUCAUGUGCGGGGAUCUGGCACUGGGAGAAAGAGCCCCUGGAGCAUCUGGCAUUGAAGGCCAGUGGGACUUGUUUGCAGGAGCUCCACAGGACUGGGGGAAACAGAGACCCCAUUCUUAAAAGGCACACACGGACUUUCACAUGCACUGGGUCCCAGGGCAGAGUGAGGUCUCCACAGGAACCUAGGUCAAACCUGACUGCAGUUCUUGGAGGACAUCAUGGGAAAACAGGGGUGAAUGUGGCUUGUUGUGAGGGAGGGACAUUGAAGGCAGAGCUCUCGGGAAUAUUCAGCAGCAGUGCCUUUCUCUGGAGGUGGCCAUUUUGGGAAAAUCUGGCCCCACCCCAUCAGUCAGUGCUGAGAAGCCCCAGGGCAAACAACAAUCCAGGUGGGAUCACAGCCCCACCCCUCAGUAAACAGGCUACCUAAAGACCCCCCCAGGCACACAGCUGCCUCUAAUCCCAUCCAGAGACUAAGCCCACCCACCAGAGGGAUUAAAAUCAGCUCCACCUACCAGUGGGCAGACAUCAGCCCCUCCCAUCAGGAAGCCUACAGCAAGCCCCCCAUACCGACUUCAGCCACAAGGGGGGCAGACACCAGAAGUAAAAGAGGCUACAACUCUAUUACCUAUAAAAAGGUCACUACACCAAAAACCUACAAAAAUGAAAAGACAGAGAACUAUAACUCAGAUGAGGGAGAAAGGAAAAACCCCAGAAAAUCAGCUAAGCAAUGAGGAGAUUCUCAGCCUCCAGGAAAAAGACUUUAGACUGUUGAUGCUGAAGAUGAUGCAAGACAUUGGAAAUAAACUGGAGGCAAAGAUGGAUAACUUACAGGAAACACUGACCAAAGAGAUACAAGAUAUAAAACUUAAACAAGAAGAGAUGCAAAAUACAAUAACUGAAAUUAAAAAAUGCACUAGAAGCAGCUAACAGCAGAAUACAGGAGGCAGAAGAACAAAUAAGUGAGGUGGAGGACAGAUUAGCGGAAAUUACGGAUGCAGAACAGAAAAGAGAAAAAAGACUGAAAACAAACAAAGAGAGUCUUGGAGAACUCUGAGACAACGUUAAACACAUCAACAUCCGUAUUAUAGGGGUGCCAGAAGGAGAAGAGAGAGAAGGGGACAGAAAAAAUAUUCCAAGAGAUAAUAGCCGAAAACUUCCCUAACAUGGGAAAGGAACCACUCACUCAAAUCCAGGAAGCAUAACGAGUACCAUAUAAAAUAAACCCAAGGAGGAAUACAUUGAGACACAUAUUAAUCAAACUAACCAAAAUUAAAGACAAAGAGAAAAUCUUGAAAGCAGCUAGGGAAAAGAAACAAGUAACAUACAAGGGAACCCCGAUAAGGUUAUCAGCAGAUUUUUCAGCAGAAACUCUGCAGGCCAGAAGGGAGUGGCAUGAUACACUUAACAUGAUGAAAAGAAAAAGCCUUCAACCAAGAAUACUCUACCCAGCAAGGCUCUCAUUCAGAUUUGAAGGAGAAAUCAAAACCUCCUCAGAUAAGCAAAAGCUGAGAGAAUUCAGCAACACUAAACUAACCUUACAACAAAUACUAAAGGAACUUCUCUAGGCAGAAAAGACAAGACAGCAACAGGAAAGAAAAACUCUACAAAUGACAAGGCUCACCAGUAAAGGUAUAUAUACAGUAAAGAUAUGAAAUCAUCCAUGCACAAUUAUACCACCAAAAUAAAAAAUCCUGAGAAGAGGUGGGUACAAAUGAAGGACACUGGAGAUGAACUUGCAAUUAAGAGAACAACCUAAAACAAUCUCAUAUACAUAUAGACUCUUACAUCAAAACUUCAGAAUAACUGCAAAUCAAAAAUCUACAAUUGAUACACAAAGAAUCUCUGGAGAAGAAAUAUAUCUCAUAGUAAAUAAGUGCAUAAUCCACCAUGAAGGGGGUCAUCUGACAUCAUUCUUGGAAUGCUGAAGUCUUCUUAGAUCUGAUUCUGAUUUCCUCUCCAUCAAAGAAUUUAUGAUAAUUAUAAUUAAAUAAUGCAACUGUACAAUUAAAAAAAAGAGAAGCAGUGCUGGGAAAACUGGACAGCUACACAUAAAAGAACAAAAUAGGAACAUUCUCUAACAACAUACACAAAAAUAAACUCAAAAUGGAUUAAGUACUGGAUAUUAUAAAACUCUUAAGAGGAAAACAUAGGCAGAACACUCUGACGUAAACCAUAGCAGUAUCUUUUCAGAUCCACCUCCUAGAGUAAUAGAAAUGAAAACAAAGGACCUAAUUAAAAGCUUUUGUAAAGCAAAGGAA
Molecule: long non-coding RNA, 4515 nt
Filed under: Sus scrofa (pig)
Lineage: Eukaryota; Metazoa; Chordata; Mammalia; Artiodactyla; Suidae
Description: lncRNA (ENSSSCG00000053801.1)
Source: RNAcentral